GAUGAACGCUGGCGGCGUGCCUAAUACAUGCAAGUCGAGCGAACAGAUGAGGAGCUUGCUCCUCUGACGUUAGCGGCGGACGGGUGAGUAACACGUGGAUAACCUACCUAUAAGACUGGGAUAACUUCGGGAAACCGGAGCUAAUACCGGAUAAUAUAUUGAACCGCAUGGUUCAAUAGUGAAAGACGGUUUUGCUGUCACUUAUAGAUGGAUCCGCGCCGCAUUAGCUAGUUGGUAAGGUAACGGCUUACCAAGGCAACGAUGCGUAGCCGACCUGAGAGGGUGAUCGGCCACACUGGAACUGAGACACGGUCCAGACUCCUACGGGAGGCAGCAGUAGGGAAUCUUCCGCAAGGGGCGAAAGCCUGACGGAGCAACGCCGCGUGAGUGAUGAAGGUCUUCGGAUCGUAAAACUCUGUUAUUAGGGAAAAACAAAUGUGUAAGUAACUAUGCACGUCUUGACGGUACCAAAUCAGAAAGCCACGGCUAACUACG
Molecule: ribosomal RNA, 495 nt
Filed under: uncultured bacterium
Lineage: Bacteria
Description: partial 16S ribosomal RNA
Rfam family: Bacterial small subunit ribosomal RNA
Source: RNAcentral